RNAcentral lists this ribosomal RNA (253 nucleotides) under uncultured bacterium. RNAcentral's name for it is "partial 16S ribosomal RNA". It matches the Rfam family "Bacterial small subunit ribosomal RNA", at positions 524 to 776 of the family's 1533-position model. The record is from RNAcentral.
UACGUAGGGGGCAAGCGUUGUCCGGAAUCAUUGGGCGUAAAGAGCGUGUAGGCGGCCCGGUAAGUCCGCUGUGAAAGUCGAGGGCUCAACCCUCGAAUGCCGGCGGAUACUGUCGGGCUAGAGUCCGGAAGAGGCGAGUGGAAUUCCUGGUGUAGCGGUGAAAUGCGCAGAUAUCAGGAGGAACACCGGUGGCGAAGGCGCCACUCUGGGCCGAAACUGACGCUGAGGAGCGAAAGCGUGGGUAGCAAACAGG